CACGUAGGGCGCAAGCGUUGUCCGGAAUUAUUGGGCGUAAAGAGCUCGUAGGUGGUUUGUCGCGUUGUUCGUGAAAACUCACAGCUUAACUGUGGGCGUGCGGGCGAUACGGGCAGACUGGAGUACUGCAGGGGAGACUGGAAUUCCUGGUGUAGCGGUGAAAUGCGUAGAUAUCAGGAGGAAUACCGGUGGCGAAGGCGGCCUUCUGGACGAUGACUGACGCUGAGACGCGAAAGCGUGGGGAGCAAACAGG
Molecule: ribosomal RNA, 253 nt
Filed under: uncultured bacterium
Lineage: Bacteria
Description: partial 16S ribosomal RNA
Rfam family: Bacterial small subunit ribosomal RNA
Source: RNAcentral